UUGAAUCAUGGCUCAGGACGAACGCUGGCGGCGUGCUUAACACAUGCAAGUCGAACGAUGAUGCCCAGCUUGCUGGGCGGAUUAGUGGCGAACGGGUGAGUAACACGUGGGUGAUCUGCCCUGCACUUCGGGAUAAGCCUGGGAAACUGGGUCUAAUACCGGAUAUGACCACAGGAUGCAUGUUUUGUGGUGGAAAGGUUUACUGGUGCAGGAUGAGCCCGCGGCCUAUCAGCUUGUUGGUGGGGUAAUGGCCUACCAAGGCGACGACGGGUAGCCGGCCUGAGAGGGCGACCGGCCACACUGGGACUGAGACACGGCCCAGACUCCUACGGGAGGCAGCAGUGGGGAAUAUUGCACAAUGGGCGAAAGCCUGAUGCAGCGACGCCGCGUGAGGGAUGACGGCCUUCGGGUUGUAAACCUCUUUCAGCAGGGACGAAGCGCAAGUGACUGUACCUGCAGAAGAAGCACCGGCUAACUACGUGCCAGCAGCCGCGGUAAUACGUAGGGUGCGAGCGUUGUCCGGAAUUACUGGGCGUAAAGAGUUCGUAGGCGGUUUGUCGCGUCGUGUGUGAAAUCCCGCAGCUCAACUGCGGGCUUGCAGGCGAUACGGGCAGACUUGAGUACUGCAGGGGAGACUGGAAUUCCUGGUGUAGCGGUGAAAUGCGCAGAUAUCAGGAGGAACACCGGUGGCGAAGGCGGGUCUCUGGGCAGUAACUGACGCUGAGGAACGAAAGCGUGGGUAGCGAACAGGAUUAGAUACCCUGGUAGUCCACGCCGUAAACGGUGGGCGCUAGGUGUGGGUUUCCUUCCACGGGAUCCGUGCCGUAGCUAACGCAUAAGCGCCCCGCC
Molecule: ribosomal RNA, 849 nt
Filed under: Rhodococcus coprophilus
Lineage: Bacteria; Bacillati; Actinomycetota; Actinomycetes; Mycobacteriales; Nocardiaceae
Description: bacterial SSU rRNA
Rfam family: Bacterial small subunit ribosomal RNA
Source: RNAcentral